This 706-nucleotide ribosomal RNA is filed under the name Taylorilygus apicalis. Its description in RNAcentral is "SSU rRNA". It matches the Rfam family "Eukaryotic small subunit ribosomal RNA", at positions 541 to 1160 of the family's 1831-position model. Lineage: Eukaryota; Metazoa; Arthropoda; Insecta; Hemiptera; Miridae. The record is from RNAcentral.
AAGGAUCCRUUGAAGGGCAAGUCUGGUGCCAGCAGCCGCGGUAAUUCCAGCUUCAAUAGCGUAUAUUAAAAGUUGUUGCGGUUAAAAAGCUCGUAGUUGGUUCUGCGUGCCACGCUGUCGGUUCGCCGCCUGCCGGUGUAACUGGCAUGCCGUGGCAUGUCCUGUCGGUGGCGUUCGGGAGCCUCGUUAGGUGCCGGCCCUUGCCCUAAAGCUUGGUGCUCGGAGGCCGGGGGUAUACCCGUUCGCCUAUCUAUCCUACCUAGGUGCUCUUCACCGAGUGUCGAGGUAGGCCGACACGUUUACUUUGAACAAAUUAGAGUGCUCAAAGCAGGCUGAAAUCUCUGCCUGAAUAGUGGUGCAUGGAAUAAUAAAACAGGACCUUGGUUCUAUUUUGUUGGUUCUUAGGAACACAAGGUAAUGAUCAAUACGGACAGGCGGGGGCAUUCGUAUUGCGACGUUAGAGGUGAAAUUCUUGGAUCGUCGCAAGACGCACAAGAGCGAAAGCAUUUGCCAAGUAUGUCUUGAUUGAUCAAGAACGAAAGUUAGAGGUUCGAAGGCGAUCAGAUACCGCCCUAGUUCUAACCAUAAACGAUGCCAGCCAGCGAUCCGCCGAUGUUCCUCCGAUGACUCGGCGGGGAGCUUCUUCCCGGGAAACCAAAGCUUUUGGGUUCCGGGGGAAGUAUGGUUGCAAAGCUGAAACUUAAAG